Molecule: non-coding RNA, 187 nt
Filed under: Bacillus toyonensis
Lineage: Bacteria; Bacillati; Bacillota; Bacilli; Caryophanales; Bacillaceae
Description: 6S RNA
Rfam family: 6S / SsrS RNA
About the family: E. coli 6S RNA was the first non coding RNA to be sequenced, but its function was unknown until recently. It consists of 184 nucleotides that fold into an extended hairpin structure with a large single-stranded internal bulge.
Source: RNAcentral
AAAUUCCUACGGUGUACGUAGCUUAUGCAUGUCUUAAACCAAUAAGUAUAAUACGGAAGUUCAAUAUUUAAAUGUAGAUAACAAGCCAUCUUUUUAAGAAGGAAGUUACAAACAUUUGUGAGAACAUCCACCUGUGAGAGCAGGUUUAUGGACAUCUAGAGAGAAGGGCGGCAUAUGUGGGGCUAUA